CAGCUCUACAGUCUGAGGGAUCUUAGGCAAAUGGCGCUUCCUAGAGGCAGAGGACUGGACAAAAGGACCUCAUAUUUCCCUUAUUUCUUCACUGAGUUGUUGCUAACUUUUUAAGCACUCAUGUCAUACACUUUCUUGGGUAUAUUUGUGGCAUAUAAUAAUCUGAAAUCCCCAUUCUCAGAAUUUAAAUUCUCAACAAUAGUAUCCCCCAUACCUAUAGGUAAAAAAUAGGAAUUAAGCAAAUGGAUGAAUGUUAAUGAAGCUCAUCUUUAUUCUCAUCAGUUAUCAUAUCAUUGGAAAAUCAACAAAUUUCAUUCAUGUGAUUAUUAAAACACUGCCAUGCACAUAGACCCAAAUUCUUUUUCAAAGUGUGGCUUGGGGCAACAAUACUGAAUUCAUUGAUAACAGGCCAGACCCCUCUGUUGGUCUUUUUAUUUCGUAUUUAUCAUUGAUGCCAUUUCAUACGGCUGUGGUUACCUGGGUAAAACUGACAGUAUCACUUAGGCCAUGAUGAAACCAGUCUCGACUAGGAAGCUUCCGAAAAGUUGACCCUAAAUAAAAGGCUGCCUCUGAGAAGAUUGAAUAUAAACUAUUAAUAUCUCAUUCUAUGCUAUAAAUAGUUCCUUGAAAUUGUGUCUAUUAGCAACACGGUCUCGAGCAUGAAGCUUAACCACUCUGUACCUUAAUUAAUUUAUUUGUUGAAUUAUGAGGUUAUAGUAAGGAUUUAGCGAGUUAACACAAAAUGCUCAGAGCAAUAUUUGAUAAGUGUUGAAUACUAGUACUGAAGGGUUUAUUAUUACCUCUUCCUUCAGUAAACUUCCUGAUCCACCUGCUGAAGCCCUCCUCCGAGAAGCCUCCUUGACUCCUACUGACAAGUUAAUUCAUUUCUUCUUCCAUACCUCUUCCAGUCCUAGGUAAUAUUGGUUAUAAUUAUUGCUCUUACAUUCAUCUCUCCAGUUGAUCCCCAUCUAUACCCUUGGUUGGUGUCUUUCUUAAGUAGAAAUAGUGUCUUCUGUGUCUGCACCCUAGGUACCAGCAUAUCUUCUUGCAUAUGUGAAUAAAGGAAUGAAUUUGCUCUUGGUAAAUCUCUUGGUAAAAAUUUAGACUGGUUUUAGACAUAAAUGCAAAAAUAAUAAAACAUUUUGCUUGGGUUUAACAUUUUUAAAGGUUCAUUUGAAUGAGACUAUCACCAAUAUACAAGAAUAAAAGAAUGAAUCUACUCAAUGACCAUCAAUGUCUGCUCUAUCAGCAAGAAAGAUACAAUCGUACAUCAUAUACCUCCUGAUGGGUGUACCAAUACUACCUCUAAAAUAACCCUAACUUUUACCAAAAAAAGUAAUCCUAGGUUACACCAGGCCUUUUAAUCAAUUUACAGGAAAUACAGUGGACAGAGGACCACGUUAUAUAACACUUUGAUGAUUAAAUUAGUUAAAUCCACACUGAGAAACUCUACAGAGCAAACUCUGCAAGAUAAAUGACCAAAUAAAUUUCAGGGGCAGGGGGGAAAGGGAAAGAGAAAGCUGCAGAUUCAGAGAGCUCAAGAGAAAGACAGUCAAUUUCUAAUAUGUAGACUGACUGCAUUUGAAUUCUGAUUCAAACAAAUUCUAAAAAUACUCUGUAUAUUUGAUAUCAUAAAAGAAUUACUAUUAACUACUCUAGCAUUGACAAUAGUUAUUUUUUAAAAUGUCUUCAGAUUUAAUAGAUAUAUACUGAAAUAUUUCCUAAUAAGAUAGGUUCAUGUCUGAGAUUUUCUUCAAAAUAAUUCUGGGUGAUGGAAAUUUAGAAAAAACAAGAUAGAGUUAAGAGUUGAUUGCUGAGGUUGGGUGAUAGGUACAUAAAAGUUCAUGAUACUGUUCUACUAAAAGAACAGUAAAAAUUUUUGCAAAAAGAUUGGAAGGUUUGCCCAUGUUUCUGCAGAGUCAUUAAAAGUUCUGAGGCAGGGGAGAGAUGUGUUAAAAGCAGCAUUUUAUAAAACUGCAUUUAAGAGAGAAGAUGCUAGAACCAGAAAUCCUUUUUAAGUCUGAACUGAAAUAAUGAGAUCCUGGCCAACUCAGAGGCAGAGGGGACAGACAGGAGGGAAAGGGGGAGGAAUUCAUGAACAGAAGUGGUGACAGGACCUGGUGGUAGGGUGGACUACACCAAGUCACAAUUUGCUGCAGGUUAUCUAAUUUCCAUCUCAUGGAAGAUGAGAUUGUGGGAGGAAACUCUGCAGUAUCAGGAUCAUUAGAAACCAAGGAAGAUGUUCACUUUGUGUUGUAAUCUUUUGGGAGAUGGUGACACAAAAGAUUAGCAUUGAAUUUUUUUUUUUUUUUUUUUUUUUUUUGUCUUUUAAGGGCCGCACCCGUGGCAUAUGGAAGUUCCCAGACGAGGGGUUGAACUGGAGCUACAGUUGCCAGCCUACACCACAGCCACAGCCACAGCAAUGUGGGAUCCGAGCCACAUCUGUCACCUACACCACAACUCAUGGCAACGCCAGAUCCUUAACCCACUGAGCAGGGCCAGGGAUCGAACCCACCUCCUUAUGGAUGCUAGUCGGGUUUGUUACCACUGAGCCACAGUGGGAACUCCCAGCAUAGAAAUUUAUUUAAGCUAGAUGACAAUGUAGCAUCUGCAUUAAUAUCUUGUGGAUACUUAAAGAUAAGGAAACAGGAUUCAAGGGGCAGAAGAUGUUAGAAAAAUAUUCAGUUCUGCAGUGACUGCUUCAAAAGACCAAGACCAACAUAGUUGGCCCCCACUGAAGGGUUUUACAAUAAGGUCAGAGAAAAGACAUACACAAUAGGCAGUUGGAGGCUCAGUGUAGAGCUGAUGAAACCAAAGCAAAGGGAUAUCAGCGUGUCCAGGGAAAGUUUCUUAAACAUAUCGCUUCUUCUUGAACCACAUCAUAAAGGAAGAGUAGAUAUAGCACAAGAAUGUGGAAUCAAGUAUAACAAAAUGUGCACUGAUCCAACCAAUAUUUGACGAGUUUCUAUGAAGUGAAAACACACACAAUAUACCUCUCCAUUUGCUUUAUUCUUCCUCUUAAUGCUUGGCAAUGCCAGGUAUCACCUUGUACUUGCUUCAUUCUUGUCUAUGUCCCCCAUGAGAAUACAAGCUCAUGAGAGCAUCUCUUGUUCACCAGGGUAUCCUCAAAGCUUUGAAUAGUUCCUUAAAUAUACUAAAUUCUCAAUAAAUAUUAUUUAAAAGUGUCCAUCCUUCCAGUGCUCACAGCCUCAGGUGAACUGAAAACUGAGCAGACAAUUACAACAUGUGUGAGCAGCAUGAGUAGUUCAGAAGGCCAGGAGAGCACAGGGGUGACGGCCUGAUGUGUCAACUGAAAGAAGAGCCAUUGUAAAAUCUCUACCUCACAGAAAGAGAAACAAGAGUUUACUCCCUUUGCAUAUUUAUUACAUAGAUUGUACUGAGAGACACACAACCCAAGGCUAAAGGAUGAUGAAAUUGCAUCAUUUUUCACUUGUCUCCAGGUAACACACAUCUUAUACAAAGAAAAAAAACGCCACAGAUGAUUUCAUUACUGAAUUUACUGGUUCCUGGUGUACUUCAAUGAGUGUGGGGAGAAACAAGCUGGAGACUAGAGUGGCCAUGUCAUUCCUGAGCUGUACAGAGUGUCUCAGCAUUGGUGGAAUUUAGGGUACUGGAUAAAAUGUGUAUGUGUGUGCACGUGGGCAUAUAUGUUUUCAACGAGAGCUCAUUCUCACCUUUAUGAAGGAAGUCAGUGAUAGUUAUUAUGACUGUGAAGGGCUGGAAAGCCUUUCCCCUCUCACCUCUGCUGGCCAGUCUGGACAUCAGGGUGAACACAGAACCCACCUUAUCAAAAUGCUUCUGUUGCAAUACAGCAAGAAACUGUCAGAUACAAAUGGUGAUGCUGACUUCUCAAUAGGGGGAAAAAAGGACCUAAAUUAGACUUCUAUAAAAAGAAUAUUGCAUAUUUAUUUCCACAAUAACACCCAGGAAAAACGUUAGUCAAGAAGCAAGCAAUUGGGUGAAUAAAUAAGCUUGUCUUUGUUCUCAUCAAUUAAGUUAUUACAUCAGUUGGAAAACCAGUGAAUUAUAAUACAGAUGUUUAAUGAAACACUGCUGAGCCUAUAAGUCAAACUCCUAUUUUGUGGUGUGAUUUUGGCUGCAUAGUUUUGUGUGUGUUAAACCGUAUUUAUUAGCUGAUACCCAUUAUUACUUUGAGCAAGGUAUAAUUCAGUUGUCAGGCUCCAUCGCAGGCAAGGAGAUUUAAUCAGUAAGAGCCGCUUUGCUACUGAGUAUAAAACAAUGUGGGUUUCAUGAAGCAAUCACAGCAGUGUGAAAAAAAUGGGAUUAAUUAGUAUUGUAUAAGAACAGGCAGCAUGCUCAUUAAAACCUUGUGAGGUGGCUCUUGAUAAACUGCCACUUGAUAGGACCGCAUUAAUGUGACAAGGCAAAGACUUCAUUUCCAAAUCCUUUCUGAUUGUAUCUUGCUUUCAAGUUACCUGGAAUGACCCUCCUUGGCAUUCUGAAUACGAAGAUCAAAAUGACUGCCAGGGAUCCAGAAGCCACCUGGACCGAGGAAGCCGAGCAUAGAUUGGGAAGCUUCAAAGACAACUUUUUUUGAACUUGCAGUCAAACAUGAAUCAAUAGCUGUAAAUGAGGCAGCGCCAGGGGUGGUGAAUUUGCAUUUGCACUCGGCAGGUCGGGCAGAAACUAAUUUGACAAUUGGCAACCCACCUUAAUGAAGGCCACAUACAAUCCUCUGUUUGUUUACCCAAUGCUGGCGGUGUUUGGAAACGUAUACAUCCCGAGGAAGGCAGCAGGGGCUCCAGAGAGCCUUGAGGGGAGCUAUCAGAUGGGUAGAGGAAGGCAGUCACUCAGAGUUACUGUCUCUUUGAGUGCUCUUCGUGCACUUCUCUCUUGGUGCCCACUGACUAAUUAUUUGGGUUUCCAAAACGCCUCUCUUACUUCCUAAAAUGAAUAGUUAUUUUUUGUUGUUUUGUUUUCACAGUGAAAGCAUCUGC
Molecule: long non-coding RNA, 4979 nt
Filed under: Sus scrofa (pig)
Lineage: Eukaryota; Metazoa; Chordata; Mammalia; Artiodactyla; Suidae
Description: lncRNA (ENSSSCG00000053059.1)
Source: RNAcentral